UACGUAGGGGGCAAGCGUUGUCCGGAUUUAUUGGGCGUAAAGCGCGUGUAGGCGGCUCGGUAAGUCUGCUGUGAAAGUCCAGGGCUCAACCCUGGGAUGCCGGUGGAUACUGUCGAGCUCGAGUCCGGAAGAGGCGAGUGGAAUUCCUGGUGUAGCGGUGAAAUGCGCAGAUAUCAGGAGGAACACCCAUGGCGAAGGCAGCUCGCUGGGACGUGACUGACGCUGAGACGCGAAAGCGUGGGGAGCAAACAGG
Molecule: ribosomal RNA, 253 nt
Filed under: uncultured bacterium
Lineage: Bacteria
Description: partial 16S ribosomal RNA
Rfam family: Bacterial small subunit ribosomal RNA
Source: RNAcentral